GCUCUCUCUGAGACGGCAGUACGUAUACUAAAAUUGGAACAAUACAGAGAAGAUUAGCAUGGCCCCGGCGCAAGGAUGACACGCAAAUUCGUUGAAGCGUUCCUCUCUCUC
Small nuclear RNA from Lampris incognitus (smalleye Pacific opah), 111 nucleotides. The record is from RefSeq and is a predicted model, not a curated record. Lineage: Eukaryota; Metazoa; Chordata; Actinopteri; Lampriformes; Lampridae.